CUUCUCAACUUAACUCCAUUUGAAGAUCAGGCAUAUGUCAAAAAAGAUGAUACAAAACAACCAGGCAUUCAAUCUGCAAAUGUUAAUAAUAAUGGGCUUCAACUGUGGCAUCCAUGGUUAUAAAUCUCUAAAUUCAGUACACGGUACUACAGCGGGCAAAAAUAAAGCUACUGCUCAGGUAGAUCAGAUUGUGGCUCAUAACGCACAAAAAUCUUUUCUAUCGGCCAGCUACAACAGAUCUAUUGUUAAACAAUAUGAGUAACAUCCUAAUCACUUGUUGCCCGCAAAAUCAAUAAAAAAGUGAACAGGGAUCAUAACUAUAAAUCAUCUCAGAUUUGCAAGUUUUCCUCUACAACAGCGCCAGAAGUGACUCCCCAAACAGAUUCUAAGAGACAAACUGCAUGUGGGAAUAACACAAAUAGUAGAUAUAAAAUUUUGAUUCCUAAACCAUAAUUGAAAAAGAAAAAAGAAAAAGAAAAAAAAGGCAUGAAACCAUCUGCCACAGAACAAAUCCACUUUGAAUGACUCUAAGCUGAGUCUUCUUCUUCUUGCUUGUCUUCGCCUGGCUUUUGCUUGGAUGGGGUCAAAGGAGAAGGUGAGCCCUCCACUCCCAUCUCUGCUCUCAAGUCAUUUAUGCUCUGCUCCAAGUCAUUUAUGCGAGUUCCCAUCUCGUCAAGUGCAUUGAAGUUAAGAAAACAAGGAAUCCCACAAAUUUUGAAUCAGCUAUACAGCUAAAUAAACAUUGAAGGGGAGAAAAAGCAAAUAUUUACAUGGUAGCCAAAAGACAGGUAUCUAACCUGUUUAUAGACCUAAAAAACCUUAAAACCCAGCAUCCAAAGCUCAGAUCUAAUAAUUUCCCAUCAAGAUAAUCUAAACUCAUUUCAUCUAAGAAUGGUAACUGAAUACCAUAAUAUAUCCAAGACGUAGGAUGAUAUCGAUUAAUACCAUCAAAAUAUUCUCAACUAGGUUUCAUGUUAAACAAUUUCCAAGAAGGUAUGCAACCAGCAAGCUCACACCAGGACACCAUACAAUAUUUCCUUUUUCAUGUACUGACAGGUCCAUCAAUUUCAAUCACAAAGAUAUUUAAAAUAAAUUUAUCAUAGACAACUCAAAACAAAUGGGAAGGAUAUUCUUUGUAAUAAUUGAGUCGGACAUUGUUUGGAACCUGGAUUGCUGCAAAUAAAAUUUUAGUCAGCAACAGUAGCAUAAAAACAACAAACAAGAGGUCUAAGAAAUAACUCACCAUCUGCUGAAGAAGAUUUUGCACCUGAAACAUUAAUGCAAAUAAGUCAUCGUUACAGAUCUUAUAAGAAAAGCACAAACAUACUGAAGCCGGAAUAUCACAUAGGUAUGACAUGAAAUAAGAAGGAUUCAAACAUAUUUAAGGUAUCAAGGGCUAAAAAUCUUAAAUAUGACAAAACCAUGUGAGCCAAACAUGUUCUGAGUUUGCACUACAAUCUCAAUUCAGAAUUGAUUACACUUAAAGCCAGCAAGGCAUCAAAAGUCUGACAGAAUCUCAUAGUUUGACAGGAGGAUUAAGUAGUAAUAGGAAUCACUCAGGUAUUGAAAAUGUCAAGAAACUCACAAAAGCAGUCAUAUCAGCAGUGCUUUUCUUCGGAUCUUCUGAUUCAUGGGCAUCCUACAAAAGAAAAAAUAAAUAAAUAGAAAAAUAAUACUAAAACCAGUUACACCACUUAGCAAAAGAAGAUGCUAUAAUGCAGUACACACUGAUUUUGUAUUGUAAAAUAUUUGGUAGAAUUUCACAUGAUAGACUGCAAAAUUCUCUAUUCCCAACAAAAUCAAUAAAACUUCCAAUUGUUAAUUGAAUGAUUCCAUUAAGGCAGAAAUGAUCUAAACAAGACAUUCUGAAUCAAACUACUAGUCAAAAGCUCAGAGAGUUGAAACCCUAGCGGUUUAAAAUACGCAAAAUCAAACAAUUUACUGAAAACAAAACACAAAUAUAGGAUUACAACAGAGCUUAACGAUUAAUUUUUAUGUGGAUUUAGCAGAAAAGAGCCUA
This 2020-nucleotide unclassified non-coding RNA is filed under the name Hevea brasiliensis (rubber tree). The record is from RNAcentral. Lineage: Eukaryota; Viridiplantae; Streptophyta; Magnoliopsida; Malpighiales; Euphorbiaceae.